CCUACGGGAGGCAGCAGUGGGGAAUAUUGGGCAAUGGGCGCAAGCCUGACCCAGCAACGCCGCGUGAAGGAAGAAGGCUUUCGGGUUGUAAACUUCUUUUCUCAGGGACGAAGCAAGUGACGGUACCCGAGGAAUAAGCCACGGCUAACUACGUGCCAGCAGCCGCGGUAAUACGUAGGUGGCAAGCGUUAUCCGGAUUUACUGGGUGUAAAGGGGGUGUAGGCGGGAAAGCAAGUCAGAUGUGAAACCCAUGGGCUCAACCUGUGGCCUGCAUUUGAAACUGUUUUGCUUGAGUAGUGGAGAGGCAGACGGAAUUCCUAGUGUAGCGGUGAAAUGCGUAGAUAUUAGGAGGAACACCAGUGGCGAAGGCGGUCUGCUGGACAGCAACUGACGCUGAGGCGCGAAAGCGUGGGGAGCAAACAGGAUUAGAUACCCGUGUAGUC
This 443-nucleotide ribosomal RNA is filed under the name uncultured bacterium. Its description in RNAcentral is "partial 16S ribosomal RNA". It matches the Rfam family "Bacterial small subunit ribosomal RNA", at positions 338 to 795 of the family's 1533-position model. The record is from RNAcentral.